GUCUACGGACACACCACCCUGAACACGCCCUAUCUCCUCUGAUCUCGGAAGCUAAGCAGGGCCAGGCCUGGUUAGUACUUGGAUGGGAGAAUGAAGGCUGAAUUUGCCCAGCAGUAGAAU
Ribosomal RNA from Erinaceus europaeus (western European hedgehog), 120 nucleotides. The record is from Ensembl. Lineage: Eukaryota; Metazoa; Chordata; Mammalia; Eulipotyphla; Erinaceidae.